CCUACGGGUGGCAGCAGUGGGGAAUAUUGCUCAAUGGGGGGAACCCUGAUGCAGCGACGCCGCGUGAGUGAAGAAGUAUUUCGGUAUGUAAAGCUCUAUUAGUAGGGAAGAAAAUGACGGUACCUGACUAAUAAGCCCCGGCUAACUACGUGCCAGCAGCCGCGGUAAUACGUAGGGGGCAAGCGUUAUCCGGAUUUACUGGGUGUAAAGGGAGCGUAGGCGGUUAUGCAAGUCUGAAGUGAAAGCCCAAGGCUCAACCAUGGGACUGCUUUUGAAACUGGAGAAAUGGAGUGCAGGAGAGGUAUGCGGAAUGCGUGGUGUAGCGGUGAAAUGCAUAGAUAUUAGGAAGAACACCGAUGGCGAAGGCAGCUUACUGGACUGUAACUGACGUUGAGGCUCGAAAGCGUGGGGAGCAAACAGGAUUAGAUACCCGAGUAGUC
This 440-nucleotide ribosomal RNA is filed under the name uncultured bacterium. Its description in RNAcentral is "partial 16S ribosomal RNA". It matches the Rfam family "Bacterial small subunit ribosomal RNA", at positions 338 to 795 of the family's 1533-position model. The record is from RNAcentral.